RNAcentral lists this ribosomal RNA (485 nucleotides) under uncultured bacterium. Its description in RNAcentral is "bacterial SSU rRNA". It matches the Rfam family "Bacterial small subunit ribosomal RNA", at positions 30 to 508 of the family's 1533-position model. The record is from RNAcentral.
AUUGAACGCUGGCGGAAUGCUUUACACAUGCAAGUCGAACGGCAGCACGGGGGCAACCCUGGUGGCGAGUGGCGAACGGGUGAGUAAUACAUCGGAACGUGCCCAGUCGUGGGGGAUAACGCAGCGAAAGCUGUGCUAAUACCGCAUACGAUCUACGGAUGAAAGCGGGGGACCGUAAGGCCUCGCGCGAUUGGAGCGGCCGAUGGUAGAUUAGGUAGUUGGUGGGGUAAAGGCUCACCAAGCCGACGAUCUGUAGCUGGUCUGAGAGGACGACCAGCCACACUGGGACUGAGACACGGCCCAGACUCCUACGGGAGGCAGCAGUGGGGAAUUUUGGACAAUGGGCGCAAGCCUGAUCCAGCCAUUCCGCGUGCAGGAUGAAGGCCUUCGGGUUGUAAACUGCUUUUGUACGGAACGGAAAGCCUUCUUCUAAUACAGGAGGGUCAUGACGGUACCGUAAGAAUAAGCACCGGCUAACUACGUGC